Long non-coding RNA from Equus quagga, 912 nucleotides. RefSeq lists it as uncharacterized. The record is from RefSeq and is a predicted model, not a curated record. The transcript has 4 exons. NCBI's taxonomy places the organism in Eukaryota, Metazoa, Chordata, Mammalia, Perissodactyla, Equidae.
GCCGUGUCUGGGAUAGGGUGUGGAGAAGAUUCUAGGUUCUGGGACGGGGACGGAGAAGAGAACAGGGCUCUUCCGCGAGGAUGCGAAACUCAAUAAAUUCAGUAAAAACCAAGGCAUAUAAAAUAUCACCCCAAAUUUCAUCACCCUGAAAUAACUAUUACUGCCAUUAAGAACUCCACUACAGACAUUUUUCCUGACAACUACUGAAGUAUUUAAAAGUGAAGUGAUUAUUUUGGGGAUUUGUUUUUUAAAAUUUCACAAGGAAAAAGUGAGUGAGCAUGGAAAUGGAUUUGUCAAGCAAAUGACACCUGUUACCAACUCCAGGGGAGGAGUCCUACUGCAUGGAGGAUAGCAAAUAGCUGAAGAAUGCCUGCCACCAAGAGCAGCAAUCCCAGAAUGUCUACUCCUUGGUUUGUACAUGCCAGGGUUGCCAAGAGAGACACAACUCACGUAGGCACUGGAUGGAACAACACUUUACUCACAUAGGGAAGAAACAGCAAGAUCAGCUUCAGUAGUGGGCAUUGGUCCCCCAUGGCUUAAGAAGAGUUUAAACGCAAAUGAGAAAUCAAGAAAGAUUGAAGAAUCUGGGUUUUUUUCCUGAUUAUAAAAUAUUUAAAAUGUAUAUCAAAGUGCAGAGAAUAACAUUUUUAAAAACCCAUAUACUCAUCCCUCCAAAUCUAUCUAAUCCUAAUAUUUUGCUAUAUUUCCUUCCAAUUUUUUAAGGAAAUAGGUAAUAGUGGAGGCUGUCUUUUAUUCCACAUCUCUUUCCUCUUCCUGGUGCCCACAGAAUUGGUUAUCCUUGAAGCUCAAUAUCUCAGUCAGGUUAUAUCACAGUAUUGAUCCAUCAAGUGUCAUUUUUCCUGGUACACGGUAUAUCCUUUCCUUUGUAGAUUGUUUUCCUUCUUUCGGGCA